AUCUGUAUGAUUUACAGAAGUCUCCUUUAUACGAACAUGGAAUUGUUUUCUGCUACAGUUUUCCUCUCAGAUGCCUUGGGAUUGUUAUUCUUAACUGGCUGGACUCUUGCCUUUCUCCCUACGCUUCCCGGGAAGUGCUGUGCCUCGGGGCAUGCGCACGGCGAGUGACAGAGCCGGGGCACGUGGAGCGCUGGGAGCGCUGCCGCCCGCGUCUGGAGGCUCGAAAAGCAGGAAGGGUCCUGUGCAAAGACCUAGUGGGUACUGCUGCCAUCGCCUUGAUAACAUUGCACUCAUGGAAUCAUGCCUGCAGUUGAAGAGCAUUCAGUUUUGCUGAAGGUAUUGAUAAUUUUAGUUGUUAAUAAUUAUAUCUUCUAAAGCAAGACUUGCAGACUUUUCCAUGAUCUCUAAGUUCAGGGAACUUGAAGAGGCUUCUUUGGUGUACUAAGGCUUUUAUCACUUGUGGGUUGUGUACUCCAGCUUGAAAUCAAUUAUGUAGGUUGUAGAACACAGUUGUUAGCACUCUGUACAAAUUGGGGUAUAUUCUAAGAAAACAAAUGAAUGCUUAAUAUUAGAUAAGGCUGUAGCUUCUAUUAUAAUUGGGAAUCAGGUUGCUUUUCUUUAGUGCAAUGGCAAUUUCAGCUGAUGGUAUGUGAUUGAUCAGUAUCCUGUAAUACAAAGGUGAUCAGCCUUCUUGACUAGAAGCUAUUCAUUUUACCACCAAUAGUUGUAUUUUCUGGCAAUUCCUGGAACCCAGUUUGGGAUUAUGGCCUAGUGAGAGCAAGCCUCCCUUAGUCAUGCAGUGCUGGAAUGUUAAAAUCUUCAGCUUUUCCUUCUCAGUAAUUGCGUUGAUAGCACAUGUGACCUUUUAAAGGCAGUUUUAUAAAUUUGAAAACUUACCAAGUGGACUAACUUCACAGUACUUGUGAGCAUGUCAGUGUUCGAUGUUGGGAGCUUUUCUAUGAGAAGAGUCCAGACUGUAGCUUCUCCUUAAGUUUAUCUUACUUAAAACAUCAUAAUAUAGAGACGCUAAUUUUUACUUUGUUGCUGUGACUGAAAUUAAAUGUUUUGAUACUUUCUCAUUUCAGGUACCUCAGAAUUGACUUCUUCUUAAUACAGUGACCAUACAGGGUCAAAGAAAAAUGGUCUGCUUCUCAAUAUUUGAGUUUGUUGUCUAUAACAGCAUGGUUUUCUGUGAAAAGUGAAAGAAGAAUCUUUCUAGACAGUUUAAAGC
RNAcentral lists this long non-coding RNA (1231 nucleotides) under Camarhynchus parvulus. RNAcentral's name for it is "lncRNA (ENSCPVG00000006338.2)". Lineage: Eukaryota; Metazoa; Chordata; Aves; Passeriformes; Thraupidae. The record is from RNAcentral.